GUAGGGAAUCUUCCACAAUGGACGAAAGUCUGAUGGAGCAACGCCGCGUGAGUGAAGAAGGUCUUCGGAUCGUAAAACUCUGUUGUUAGAGAAGAACGUGCAUGAUAGUAACUGAUCAUGUAAUGACGGUAUCUAACCAGAAAGCCACGGCUAACUACGUGCCAGCAGCCGCGGUAAUACGUAGGUGGCAAGCGUUGUCCGGACUUAUUGGGCGUAAAGGGAACGCAGGCGGUUUUUUAAGUCUGAUGUGAAAGCCUUCGGCUUAACCGAAGAAUAGCAUUGGAAACUGGAAGACUUGAGUGCAGAAGAGGAGAGUGGAAUUCCAUGUGUAGCGGUGAAAUGCGUAGAUAUAUGGAGGAACACCAGUGGCGAAAGCGGCUCUCUGGUCUGUAACUGACGCUGAGGCUCGAAAGCCAGGGGAGCGAACGGGAUUAGAAACCCUGGUAGUCC
RNAcentral lists this ribosomal RNA (450 nucleotides) under uncultured bacterium. RNAcentral's name for it is "partial 16S ribosomal RNA". It matches the Rfam family "Bacterial small subunit ribosomal RNA", at positions 354 to 796 of the family's 1533-position model. The record is from RNAcentral.